Molecule: ribosomal RNA, 253 nt
Filed under: uncultured bacterium
Lineage: Bacteria
Description: partial 16S ribosomal RNA
Rfam family: Bacterial small subunit ribosomal RNA
Source: RNAcentral
UACAGAGGGGGCAAGCGUUGUUCGGAAUUACUGGGCGUAAAGGGCGCGUAGGCGGCCUGCUAAGUCGAACGUGAAAUCCCCGGGCUCAACCCGGGAACUGCGUCCGAUACUGGCAGGCUUGAAUCCGGGAGAGGGAUGCGGAAUUCCAGGUGUAGCGGUGAAAUGCGUAGAUAUCUGGAGGAACACCGGUGGCGAAGGCGGGUCUCUGGGCCGAAACUGACGCUGAGGAGCGAAAGCGUGGGGAGCAAACAGG